This 2226-nucleotide unclassified non-coding RNA is filed under the name Exaiptasia diaphana. RNAcentral describes it as "uncharacterized LOC110243326, transcript variant X1". The record is from RNAcentral. Lineage: Eukaryota; Metazoa; Cnidaria; Anthozoa; Actiniaria; Aiptasiidae.
GCCAUGUGUCUAGUUUCCUGUGUAGUGGAUCAUAUAUCAACCAUUCCUGACGUUGUUGCCUUCUUAGACAUGUAACUUGAUAGCCCGAUUGUCGUGUGGCGAAUCGAGCAGUUUGCAAUUCACUAGUCGAACCGCUUGUGAUGUUUAGUUAUAUUCAAGCAGUUUAAUGCAUUUCAACAUGGUUUACACAAGAAACAAAACAUUGAAUAAAGCAGAAAUAGUGGCUGCUCUAUUCCUGGCCCUGCUAAACGUGAUAAACAGCAGCAGCAACAUCUCAUGGCAAAACACAAACAUGACGGUCACAAGAAGCCUUGUUUCUUCAGAUUAUUUUGAUAUUUGGAACGACAAAGACACAAAAGAGUGUUCGUUUAAUAUUAUUCCCAAUGUUUGCCAGAGUUACGGAGCAACUGAAGUUAAAAGUAACUGCAAGAUGUCUUGUUGUAAGNGAUGUAUGUGCGAGAGAAACAGGACUUCUUUUCUUGUACAGAAACGAAAGUGUAUAGAAGAUAUCAGCAUUAUGGCACAGUCUCGAGAUCCCUACCAACUGUUGUUUGGCACCUCGACUCGUACACCGUGUGAGAAUAGUUCAAGAAUACUGCANACACUCGACCUCAAUAUUNCUGGAAAUAGAACAUUCUUGAUUUGUUCAAGUGGCGCAGAGUUUAUACCAGCUGGCGUGGAAUCAUGCGCACUUCUACCAGAUAACCACAGUGCCAUAGACACAUUGAACGGGCAGAACGAUUUACCCAUCGAUUUCAAGAAUAGUUUCCAAGUCAGCAAGAAAAAGCUGGUGUUUAAAUGGACUGGGACUAGUAUGACGUCAAUGCAAGCCUCCAUUGUGUCCAUAGGUGUAAAAUGUGUCGUAUAUAUUUUAUCUCGAUUUGGACGCGAGAAUGUCGAUAUUGAAUCAAAACUGUACUUCAAGAUUGCAGGCUCACAUACCAGUCCAUGGCCUCCAGUAUUUUAUAACACAUUCAAAGCACCAAAGCCAACCAAUCCCCCGACUACAUUCACAACACCCACUACCAUGACAAUCUGGACAGAGUACCGGUCCAAGCUAAAUGUGGUACGUGUUCCUGGUAAAGUCGAUAUGUUAUUGGUAAUAGUCGCUGCUGUACUUGGCUCACUUCUCUUCCUGGUCAUCGCGGCUGCUAUUAUCAUCAUCUUUGUAUUUAGACGCAAGCAAAAGUUGAAUAUUUCAGGAGGAAACCACACCAGUAACCCAACCUAUGAACGUGGUCCAGACCAGUCACUUAUACCAAAUGGUCAUCAGNCCUCUAGCUUCAAAUCCCAUUUCUACCAACCGCUGGUUGAAAANACCAAGGACUCAUCACGUAAAGAACCGAUAUAUGAAAGCCUGGAUGACAACUUACGAGAGAGCAAGGUGUCGCUAACAGAGAAUCCAAACCGAUGCAGUCUUGCCUAUUGUGACGUUACAUCUGAUGGAUACCUGGUACCAGCAACUGGACCAGUCCCCUUUCCUACUAGUACUGAAGCUCUGCCACCCAUCCCAGACAACACUACGCGGCCAAGACUAAGUUCCAGUUACGAUGAACCGGAAGUUGUUCUUAAAGACAGGAAGCCCAAAUUAACCGUUGACUUGAGCAGUGCUGAUGGAAAGCCAAAACCUNUUUAUCAUGAAUUAGAAGAAAACAGCGAAGUGAAAUCAGAUNAACAAGAUAAUGAAGCAGUUGCUGAAAAUCGCUUUGGUAAAAGUCCCACAGAAAAUACCUACCUGGAGCUGAUCGGAGGGAAUAAGACUCGACUAGAAUCAGAGAUACUUUAAGAUAUGUCAUCUUUACCUUUUGAAAGGAGAAACAACUGACAGGACUAGUCGUCGAUAUCAGUGGAAGCUCAGCGACUGUUGUAUACGCAAUAUUCCCCCAAUGACAGCUGCUGAUGGGUUUCUGUUAUAAGGACCUAACACUGGCGAACAGGUUUCUGAGUUGAGGUUACAGGCUCCCGAAAUGGGGUCCUAACCCUGGCCUACAGGUUCCCGAGAUGUGGUCCAUGGCAGUUCUUAAGGACGCAGUCAACUAGACAUAUACUUUUGUUAUCAGCUGUAAAUAAAUAGCACUGCAUGCUAACAUGCUUAUUACAGUUCAUUAUACUAGGCAAUGUAAAAUAUUCCAUAAAAAUAUUAAAUUUCAAAGAACUCCAAAAAUUAUAUUGCUUGCAUGCGAUUAACAGUUUUUUUCGCUCAAAAUAAAAAAUGUAAAAUCAUUA